AGUGAACGCUGGCGGUAGGCCUAACACAUGCAAGUCGAGCGGCAGCACAGUAAGAGCUUGCUCUUACGGGUGGCGAGUGGCGGACGGGUGAGGAAUACAUCGGAAUCUACUUUUUCGUGGGGGAUAACGUAGGGAAACUUACGCUAAUACCGCAUACGACCUACGGGUGAAAGCAGGGGAUCUUCGGACCUUGCGCGAUUGAAUGAGCCGAUGUCGGAUUAGCUAGUUGGCGGGGUAAAGGCCCACCAAGGCGACGAUCCGUAGCUGGUCUGAGAGGAUGAUCCGCCACACUGGAACUGAGACACGGUCCAGACUCCUACGGGAGGCAGCAGUGGGGAAUAUUGGACAAUGGGCGCAAGCCUGAUCCAGCCAUACCGCGUGGGUGAAGAAGGCCUUCGGGUUGUAAAGCCCUUUUGUUGGGAAAGAAAAGCAGCAGGUUAAUACCCCGCUGUUCUGACGGUACCCAAAGAAUAAGCACCGGCUAACUUCGUG
RNAcentral lists this ribosomal RNA (492 nucleotides) under uncultured bacterium. RNAcentral's name for it is "partial 16S ribosomal RNA". It matches the Rfam family "Bacterial small subunit ribosomal RNA", at positions 29 to 507 of the family's 1533-position model. The record is from RNAcentral.